Oreochromis niloticus (Nile tilapia) is the source of this 1378-nucleotide long non-coding RNA. RefSeq lists it as uncharacterized. The record is from RefSeq and is a predicted model, not a curated record. Lineage: Eukaryota; Metazoa; Chordata; Actinopteri; Cichliformes; Cichlidae. The transcript is spliced from 4 exons.
CGGAGUAUGAGUCGCGGCUGAGAUUAAACAGAGAAGACCAGCGUCCGAUGACGUGAGUAUUGCAGAGUGGGUGAGUCGAGGAUCCGAGGAAUGACUAGAGCACAAAGAAACCACAAGCAACCAAUGCCCCGGUCGAUGACGACACCGAUGAUUGCUGUCACAGGAGAUUUUGAUCUUAAAACACUCCAAGAUUUCUUACAGUGUGGGAAUGAUGACAAGCAAGAGGACCAAGUGUGUCAGUUAACUUACCCAAAGGGGCAUGACUUCCAAUAACUUCAGUCUUAUUUUCGUUUAAGGCAGCAUGUUUCGAAAGAACAGAGUGGAACCCAAAACAGACCCAUGUGUUACACCACAACAAAAAGGGGCAGGAGAAGAGGAGUUUUCCCCAGCAACAGAAAAAGACCUCUCUCACAGUUUCUAGGGCCUAGAGGGCAGCAGAGACCACACUAAUACUGACAACCUCAUUCUCAAAUACCACUUUUCUUUCCACGAACUCCCCAUUGAUGUUGAUGGGCUGCAGCACAAACGUCCUCCUUCUGAAGUCAACUACCAGCUCUUUUGUCUUGGUGGUCCAAGUUGUUGUCUGCACACAAAUCCAACAGCUUCUGAACCUCAGCUCUGUAUGCUGUCUCAUGGCCCCCAGAGAUGACCCCCACCACGGUGGUAUCAUCUGCGAACUUUGUCUGGGGCGGUACUGACACAGUUAUGAGUGUGUAGAGUGUACAUUAGGGGACUUAGUACACAGCCUCUAACCUCUAACUCUCUGUACACGGUCCAAGAGAAAGACUCUGAUCCAGCAGCAGGUGGUAAAAGGAAGUCCGAAAUCCGGUAGUUUUACUGUUAGUCUGUCCAGGAACUCCUCAGAAUUAUACUGUUUCCAUUCCUGCUCAUCUUGUACACGUCAGACUUUCAGUACAACAUCUACAGAAAUAAUUAAACAAUUCUGCAGUGGCUGGAUGUGUUAGUGAUGGGCAGGUGGAGGAGUUCGUAACACCUGUGGAUGAUUUUCUGAAGUCGUCAGGAGGAAUCAUUUGCUUCUGAAUGUGAAUAAGAUAGAUGGCAACCAACUUCAGAAGGAAGAGGAUGGCUACAUGGUCCGUGUCUGUGACAGGAUGUGGUGGAGACUGAACUGGGAGACCAACACGGGGGCUGUAAACAAGAAGGAGGUGACCAGCUCCGUUGCCACAGGAUAAUACAGGAAUUAUUUCAAACUAUAUGUGUGAUACCAUAUGUCACUGUUAUCUGGCACAGUCUGAUGAUAAUAAUAAUGUAUGUUACAUAUUAUUUUAUGAGUUAUUUUUAUCAUUAUUGUUUUUACUGUUUUAAUUACUGUUAUGACUACUCUUCGUACGUUCUUUCUUCAACUGCUGCAACAAAA